AAAACUAGCCAGUCUUUUGGGUAUGAAACCCAUUUGGGCGAGAGUAGUACUAGGAUGGGUGACCUCCUGGGAAGUCCUCGUGAAAGGUUUUC
Molecule: ribosomal RNA, 92 nt
Filed under: Triticum aestivum (bread wheat)
Lineage: Eukaryota; Viridiplantae; Streptophyta; Magnoliopsida; Poales; Poaceae
Also listed under: 2 other names
Source: RNAcentral